Crotalus tigris (Tiger rattlesnake) is the source of this 264-nucleotide long non-coding RNA. RefSeq lists it as uncharacterized. The record is from RefSeq and is a predicted model, not a curated record. NCBI's taxonomy places the organism in Eukaryota, Metazoa, Chordata, Lepidosauria, Squamata, Viperidae. The transcript has 2 exons.
ACACACACACACACACACACACACACACACACAUGCACAGGUUUUACAAGUAAUCUGCAAAUAAAAAUAAUAUUAUUUCUCCACUCCCAGACCAAGACAGGAAAAAUGAUGGUACACAGCAAUUUAAUAAACUCCAUCAACAGAGAGGAUCACCAGAGAAGUACAAAUGGUGUGGAGCCUUCUUGGCUGCAGGAUGUUUUCAGCCCUGGAUCCCUUCACUGUGAAGACUGGUGCAGGCUGUUGGACUUAGUAGUAACUGUGAGU